AUCACUUCUCGGCCUUUUGGCGAAGAUCAAGUGUAGUAUCUGUUGUUAUUAGCAUAAUAUUGUAUAUGCAACCAAUAGUCAAUACAAGGUUGGUUGUAUCUGAUACGAACCAACAUUGAGUU
This is a small nuclear RNA of Mandrillus leucophaeus (drill), 122 nucleotides long. Its record names the gene U2. It matches the Rfam family "U2 spliceosomal RNA". From Rfam's summary of the family: U2 is a small nuclear RNA (snRNA) component of the spliceosome (involved in pre-mRNA splicing). The record is from Ensembl. NCBI's taxonomy places the organism in Eukaryota, Metazoa, Chordata, Mammalia, Primates, Cercopithecidae.